Molecule: ribosomal RNA, 253 nt
Filed under: uncultured bacterium
Lineage: Bacteria
Description: partial 16S ribosomal RNA
Rfam family: Bacterial small subunit ribosomal RNA
Source: RNAcentral
UACAGAGGUCCCAAGCGUUGUUCGGAUUCACUGGGCGUAAAGGGUGCGUAGGUGGUGAGGUAAGUCGGAUGUGAAAUCUCCAAGCUCAACUUGGAAACUGCAUUGGAAACUACCUUGCUAGAGGAUUUGAGGGGGGAUUGGAAUACUUGGUGUAGCAGUGAAAUGCGUAGAUAUCAAGUGGAACACCAGUGGCGAAGGCGGGUUGCUGGGCUGACACUGACGCUGAGGCGCGAAAGCUAGGGGAGCGAACGGG